RNAcentral lists this ribosomal RNA (282 nucleotides) under uncultured Bacteroides sp. Its description in RNAcentral is "partial 16S ribosomal RNA". It matches the Rfam family "Bacterial small subunit ribosomal RNA", at positions 65 to 339 of the family's 1533-position model. Lineage: Bacteria; Pseudomonadati; Bacteroidota; Bacteroidia; Bacteroidales; Bacteroidaceae. The record is from RNAcentral.
AGGGGCAUCAGGAAGAAAGCUUGCUUUCUUUGCUGGCGACCGGCGCACGGGUGAGUAACACGUAUCCAACCUGCCCUUUACUCGGGGAUAGCCUUUCGAAAGAAAGAUUAAUACCCGAUGGCAUCAUGAGUCCACAUGUUCACAUGAUUAAAGGUAUUCCGGUAGACGAUGGGGAUGCGUCUGAUUAGCUUGUUGGCGGGGUAACGGCCCACCAAGGCAACGAUCAGUAGGGGUUCUGAGAGGAAGGUCCCCACAUUGGUACUGAGACACGGACCAAACUCC